GCUAUCGGGGUCCGACUAAGCCAUGCGAGUUGAGAGGGGUAAGCCCUCGGCAUAUUGCUCAGUAACACGCGGAUAACCUGCCCUUGGGUUUGGGAUAACCCCGGGAAACUGGGACUAAUACCGGAUAGAUCAAAGAAACUGGAAUGUUCUCUGAUCGAAAGCUCCGGCGCCCAAGGAUGGGUCUGCGGCCUAUCAGGUAGUAGUGGGUGUAACGUACCUACUAGCCUACGACGGGUAAGGGUUGUGAGAGCAAGAGCCCUGAGAUGGAUUCUGAGACAUGAAUCCAGGCCCUACGGGGUGCAGCAGGCGCGAAAACUUUACACUGCGGGAAACCGCGAUAAGGGGACCCCGAGUGCCAGCACCUAGUGCUGGCUGUCCAGCUGUUCAAAUAACAGUUGUUAGCAAGGGCCGGGCAAGACCGGUGCCAGCCGCCGCGGUAACACCGGCGGCCCGAGUGGUAGCCGUUAUUAUUGGGUUUAAAGGGUCCGUAGCCGGCCUAUUAAGUCUCUUGGGAAAUCUGGCGACUCAAUCGUCAGGCGUUCAAGAGAUACUGGUAGGCUUGGGACCGGGAGAGGUGGGAGGUACUCCAGGGGUAGGGGUGAAAUCUCGUAAUCCUUGGGGGACCACCGAUGGCGAAGGCAUCCCACCAGAACGGGUCCGACGGUGAGGGACGAAAGCUGGGGGCACGAACCGGAUUAGAUACCCGGGUAGUCCCAGCCGUAAACGAUGCUCGCUAGGUGUCAGGUGCGGUGCGACCGCAUCUGGUGCCGCAGUGAAAACUUGAAGCGAGUCACCUGGGAAGUACGGUCGCAAGGCUGAAACUUAAAGGAAUUGGCGGGGGAGCACUACAACGGGUGGAGCCUGCGGUUCAAUUGGAUUCAACGCCGGA
This 889-nucleotide ribosomal RNA is filed under the name archaeon enrichment culture clone EAr33. RNAcentral describes it as "bacterial SSU rRNA". It matches the Rfam family "Archaeal small subunit ribosomal RNA", at positions 29 to 922 of the family's 1478-position model. The record is from RNAcentral.